RNAcentral lists this ribosomal RNA (483 nucleotides) under Triticum aestivum (bread wheat). RNAcentral describes it as "partial small subunit ribosomal RNA". The record is from RNAcentral. Lineage: Eukaryota; Viridiplantae; Streptophyta; Magnoliopsida; Poales; Poaceae.
AUGAAUUGCAUAAGUUGGAACUGCCGGGGGCUUGGGAACCCCGCGGCAGUUCGAGAGCUUCGCAGCAUAGUGAAGCAAGAAGGUCAUGCCCUUGUGUUUGUCAUGGAAACCAAAAUAAGGGCGAAAAAAGUGGAGAAUCUGCGAAAUACUUUGGGAUUUGCAGGAUGUUUUGCCGUCGAUAGUAACGGUCUCAGCGGUGGUGUGGGACUGUUCUGGUCGAAUGAGGUCUCAGUUGAACUGAAAAAUUACAGUGUGAGCCACAUUGAUAUGGUUGUCACAAAGGCUGGAAUGGAUUCUCCGGGAUGGAGAUUUACUGGUUUCUAUGGAGCUCCAAGAGUGGAAAACCAACAUCAUAGUUGGCGCUUCAUGAGGACUUUAUUCGGCAUCCAACAUCAAGCAUGGAUGUGCGUAGGUGACUUCAACGAAACAUUAUACGGGACGAAACACUUCAGUCGUACUUCACGGCCGGAGUGGCAAAUGUGA